GGCGGAUUAGUGGCGAACGGGUGAGUAACACGUGAGUAACCUGCCCUUGACUUCGGGAUAACUCCGGGAAACCGGGGCUAAUACCGGAUAUGAGCCGUCCUCGCAUGGGGGUGGUUGGAAAGUUUUUCGGUCAGGGAUGGGCUCGCGGCCUAUCAGCUUGUUGGUGGGGUGAUGGCCUACCAAGGCGACGACGGGUAGCCGGCCUGAGAGGGCGACCGGCCACACUGGGACUGAGACACGGCCCAGACUCCUACGGGAGGCAGCAGUGGGGAAUAUUGCACAAUGGGCGAAAGCCUGAUGCAGCGACGCCGCGUGAGGGAUGAAGGCCUUCGGGUUGUAAACCUCUUUCAGCAGGGAAGAAGCGCAAGUGACGGUACCUGCAGAAGAAGCGCCGGCUAACUACGUGCCAGCAGCCGCGGUAAUACGUAGGGCGCAAGCGUUGUCCGGAAUUAUUGGGCGUAAAGAGCUCGUAGGCGGUUUGUCGCGUCUGGUGUGAAAACUCGAGGCUCAACCUCGAGCUUGCAUCGGGUACGGGCAGACUAGAGUGCGGUAGGGGAGACUGGAAUUCCUGGUGUAGCGGUGGAAUGCGCAGAUAUCAGGAGGAACACCGAUGGCGAAGGCAGGUCUCUGGGCCGCAACUGACGCUGAGGAGCGAAAGCAUGGGGAGCGAACAGGAUUAGAUACCCUGGUAGUCCAUGCCGUAAACGUUGGGCACUAGGUGUGGGGCUCAUUCCACGAGUUCCGUGCCGCAGCAAACGCAUUAAGUGCCCCGCCUGGGGAGUACGGCCGCAAGGCUAAAACUCAAAAGGAAUUGACGGGGGGCCCGCACAAGCGGGCGGAGCAUGGCGGAUUAAUUUCGAUGCAACCCCGAAAGAACCUUUACCAAAGGCUUUGACAUUGCACCAAAAAACCCCCCAAAAGAUGGUGGGUCUCUUUUGGA
This 940-nucleotide ribosomal RNA is filed under the name Cellulosimicrobium cellulans. Its description in RNAcentral is "bacterial SSU rRNA". It matches the Rfam family "Bacterial small subunit ribosomal RNA", at positions 86 to 1025 of the family's 1533-position model. Lineage: Bacteria; Bacillati; Actinomycetota; Actinomycetes; Micrococcales; Promicromonosporaceae. The record is from RNAcentral.